Molecule: antisense RNA, 187 nt
Filed under: Desertifilum tharense IPPAS B-1220
Lineage: Bacteria; Bacillati; Cyanobacteriota; Cyanophyceae; Desertifilales; Desertifilaceae
Description: Desertifilum sp. IPPAS B-1220 Antisense RNA which regulates isiA expression
Rfam family: Antisense RNA which regulates isiA expression
Source: Rfam by way of RNAcentral
AAUAACUAAAAAUUCGCACGGGGUUGAGCGUGGGAUGGGCUAUUACUCGGACGCUUCCACCACUUCCGGCCCAAGGGUCAAACAGUCCGCCCCAAAACAUUCCCUUGGCAACCAACAGCAACGCCCCAAUACCGAGCAAAAUUAAAUGGAUGCCCAGGAUAGUGGUCAUUUUUUCGCUGUCUUUCCA